AGCUCAUGUAUAGGCACCCUAAGAUUGGUUCCCUGCUGUCCACCCUCUGCUGCAAGCAUGAUGUCAGGAGGUUUCUGAAUGUGCAGACUGCAGCUGCAGAAACCGCACUGCAUGGCACCUGGUCAACAUGAGACACAAGCUGCCUCCAGAAGGCCGGAUCAAGGAAGAAAGUGGUUUCCCUUCCUCCAGUGGUGCCCCCCGCUUCCUGCCUCAUUUCUAGCAAGACACGUUUUCCCAGUGUUGAUUCAGUAGCUCCUGGACGUGGCUCAAUGGCA
This is a long non-coding RNA of Alligator sinensis (Chinese alligator), 275 nucleotides long. RefSeq lists it as uncharacterized. The record is from RefSeq and is a predicted model, not a curated record. The transcript has 3 exons. Lineage: Eukaryota; Metazoa; Chordata; Crocodylia; Alligatoridae.